RNAcentral lists this long non-coding RNA (866 nucleotides) under Nicotiana benthamiana. Its description in RNAcentral is "long non-coding RNA (NBEN_LNC013494)". Lineage: Eukaryota; Viridiplantae; Streptophyta; Magnoliopsida; Solanales; Solanaceae. The record is from RNAcentral.
UGGUUGCUGGAUAUGUUCGUCCUCCUCAGUUGGGCUUGCCAAAUGUUGACAAGGCAAAUAUUUGUUGCAAUCCUCCUAGUCCACAUUUGGUGUGCGUCUUCCCUCCAGCUUUGAGUUCUUCGUUCUGCAUACCGGCCUGAAGAUUUUGGUCAUCAUUUUGACCUUUACAAUUGGAUUGAUCGUCCUUUCUCGUUUAAAAAUUCUGCAUAUCGGCCUGAAGAUUUUGGUCAUCAUUUUGACCUUUACAAUUGGAUUGAUCGUUCUUUCUCAUUUAAAAAGACAUGAGCAUCAAGUGGACGAUUUAACUUGAAAAUGUCAAGUCUGCCAGUGUUUGUACAAUAUGUAUUUUUUUUCCAAGUUGCAACAAUAGAGAAUGUGACCUUUUGCACGUUAAAGGUGUAGGUAGACUUACGCUGUAUCAUAUACUCAUGUACAGAGAACAUUUUUGCUUGUACAAUAAAGGAGAUUCUGAGAUGAUUUCCUUGUACACGGAACAGUUGUAGGAGAUAGAUGAAAUUAUGAGGUAAGGGGAUUGGUUUUCUACAAUACAAUGUGCAUGCUCUGACAAACUGCUCUUGUUCUUAUGAAAAUGUUCGAUGUGAUAUAUUAAUAUGCGCUGUAUGCCUUGCACUUUUGGUUGCUGUCGGAAAUGGACGUUUACCAGACAUCGUUUGAGCUUGUAUGGAUCGUAAACAUUGGAUUUAAGUUAUAUGCAUUAACGGUGAUGAAUGUUAUUUAACCUGUUAUAAAGAUUAUCAACCAACGCUAGGAGUCUUAAAUGGGAUUUACCUGCAAUACUAGAUUACCUUUUGAUCUGACCAUUAGCGCACGUAACUGGAAACAUAUAUCAUUUAUUAAGGCGAUCC